Non-coding RNA from Coturnix japonica (Japanese quail), 970 nucleotides. NCBI's taxonomy places the organism in Eukaryota, Metazoa, Chordata, Aves, Galliformes, Phasianidae. The record is from RefSeq and is a predicted model, not a curated record.
UCAGACCGUGUCCAUAGCAGAAAUAUUACAUACAGAACACGAAUCAUGGGACAAGGAGGAAAUGUACAGCUACUCACUGAAAUGCAGCAGUGGCAUUGCUGAUGGAGGUGGGAUUUCAGCCAGCUGUUCUCUGACAUGAGGUGUGUCAGGCAGUGGGACGCUGCUCUCAACUCCAGGAGCUGUCAAAUCCAUCAUGGAUUUAUGUUCUGUCCUCCUUGCAGGAAAGAAUAGAUUCCAAAGCCCCUUUGGGAAGACCUUCUGAGGGAGCUGCAUGAAACUACAGUCAGCACUGAGUGCAAUAGAAUCCACUCAGAAAAUGCAUGGAUCUGGUUCUACUGAUUCUGAGAUUUGAACAACUCGGGAGAAUGUGUGAAGUCGCUCAUUUACAUUUUGUUACCCAGCAUGCUGUUCCAACUCAUCUAUUUCCCACAGGCACCAACAUCAAAGCUGAGGAAACAAGCUAUCUUUGCAUGAAGGUUUUUCUUUUUAAUUAAACAUUAUAAUCUAAGGCCAGAAAUUCCCUCUUCUGUCACAGCUGGAGAAAGCAUAAAGGGAGAAGCGAGGGCAGAGAAACAGAAUCCAUCAGUCACUGUACAGAGAGAUUGCUUGGCCCUGCAUGCUUACAAUUGCCUUCUGACUGCUUGGCUUAUUUGUGCAGCAUAUGGCAAAGCGUGGAAACCCACCUCUAGCCCAAAGGUCACUGUGCCACCUGCAGAUCCCCGACAACACGCGGCCUUGCACAAAUACACAUGGAAGUAAUUAGGGAGGCAAGGGAGCUGGGAUAUGAAGCGGAACCCCCUCAAGUCUGCUGCAGUAAUUCUUUCAGCUGAGCUGGAGGAGAAGUCAGAAUUCCCAAGGGUCUGAUUGCUGAAGCCUGGAGCCCAAAACGGAAUACAAUUAUUUACUGCUUCUCUGCCACUAACAUGCCAUUGCAUUUGUGGGGUUGGGUGAGAGGAGAUCCAAAGGGAGU